This 2195-nucleotide ribosomal RNA is filed under the name Pseudomonas aeruginosa. Its description in RNAcentral is "bacterial LSU rRNA". It matches the Rfam family "Bacterial large subunit ribosomal RNA", at positions 3 to 2236 of the family's 2925-position model. Lineage: Bacteria; Pseudomonadati; Pseudomonadota; Gammaproteobacteria; Pseudomonadales; Pseudomonadaceae. RNAcentral also lists the same sequence under 1 other name. The record is from RNAcentral.
UCAAGUGAAGAAGCGCAUACGGUGGAUGCCUUGGCAGUCAGAGGCGAUGAAAGACGUGGUAGCCUGCGAAAAGCUUCGGGGAGUCGGCAAACAGACUUUGAUCCGGAGAUCUCUGAAUGGGGGAACCCACCUAGGAUAACCUAGGUAUCUUGUACUGAAUCCAUAGGUGCAAGAGGCGAACCAGGGGAACUGAAACAUCUAAGUACCCUGAGGAAAAGAAAUCAACCGAGAUUCCCUUAGUAGUGGCGAGCGAACGGGGAUUAGCCCUUAAGCUUCAUUGAUUUUAGCGGAACGCUCUGGAAAGUGCGGCCAUAGUGGGUGAUAGCCCCGUACGCGAAAGGAUCUUUGAAGUGAAAUCGAGUAGGACGGAGCACGAGAAACUUUGUCUGAACAUGGGGGGACCAUCCUCCAAGGCUAAAUACUACUGACUGACCGAUAGUGAACCAGUACCGUGAGGGAAAGGCGAAAAGAACCCCGGAGAGGGGAGUGAAAUAGAACCUGAAACCGUAUGCGUACAAGCAGUGGGAGCCUACUUGUUAGGUGACUGCGUACCUUUUGUAUAAUGGGUCAGCGACUUAUAUUCAGUGGCAAGCUUAACCGUAUAGGGUAGGCGUAGCGAAAGCGAGUCUUAAUAGGGCGUUUAGUCGCUGGGUAUAGACCCGAAACCGGGCGAUCUAUCCAUGAGCAGGUUGAAGGUUAGGUAACACUGACUGGAGGACCGAACCCACUCCCGUUGAAAAGGUAGGGGAUGACUUGUGGAUCGGAGUGAAAGGCUAAUCAAGCUCGGAGAUAGCUGGUUCUCCUCGAAAGCUAUUUAGGUAGCGCCUCAUGUAUCACUCUGGGGGGUAGAGCACUGUUUCGGCUAGGGGGUCAUCCCGACUUACCAAACCGAUGCAAACUCCGAAUACCCAGAAGUGCCGAGCAUGGGAGACACACGGCGGGUGCUAACGUCCGUCGUGAAAAGGGAAACAACCCAGACCGCCAGCUAAGGUCCCAAAGUUGUGGUUAAGUGGUAAACGAUGUGGGAAGGCUUAGACAGCUAGGAGGUUGGCUUAGAAGCAGCCACCCUUUAAAGAAAGCGUAAUAGCUCACUAGUCGAGUCGGCCUGCGCGGAAGAUGUAACGGGGCUCAAACCACACACCGAAGCUGCGGGUGUCACGUAAGUGACGCGGUAGAGGAGCGUUCUGUAAGCCUGUGAAGGUGAGUUGAGAAGCUUGCUGGAGGUAUCAGAAGUGCGAAUGCUGACAUGAGUAACGACAAUGGGUGUGAAAAACACCCACGCCGAAAGACCAAGGGUUCCUGCGCAACGUUAAUCGACGCAGGGUUAGUCGGUUCCUAAGGCGAGGCUGAAAAGCGUAGUCGAUGGGAAACAGGUUAAUAUUCCUGUACUUCUGGUUACUGCGAUGGAGGGACGGAGAAGGCUAGGCCAGCUUGGCGUUGGUUGUCCAAGUUUAAGGUGGUAGGCUGAAAUCUUAGGUAAAUCCGGGGUUUCAAGGCCGAGAGCUGAUGACGAGUCGUCUUUUAGAUGACGAAGUGGUUGAUGCCAUGCUUCCAAGAAAAGCUUCUAAGCUUCAGGUAACCAGGAACCGUACCCCAAACCGACACAGGUGGUCGGGUAGAGAAUACCAAGGCGCUUGAGAGAACUCGGGUGAAGGAACUAGGCAAAAUGGCACCGUAACUUCGGGAGAAGGUGCGCCGGCUAGGGUGAAGGAUUUACUCCGUAAGCUCUGGCUGGUCGAAGAUACCAGGCCGCUGCGACUGUUUAUUAAAAACACAGCACUCUGCAAACACGAAAGUGGACGUAUAGGGUGUGACGCCUGCCCGGUGCCGGAAGGUUAAUUGAUGGGGUUAGCGCAAGCGAAGCUCUUGAUCGAAGCCCCGGUAAACGGCGGCCGUAACUAUAACGGUCCUAAGGUAGCGAAAUUCCUUGUCGGGUAAGUUCCGACCUGCACGAAUGGCGUAACGAUGGCGGCGCUGUCUCCACCCGAGACUCAGUGAAAUUGAAAUCGCUGUGAAGAUGCAGUGUAUCCGCGGCUAGACGGAAAGACCCCGUGAACCUUUACUGUAGCUUUGCACUGGACUUUGAGCCUGCUUGUGUAGGAUAGGUGGGAGGCUUUGAAGCGUGGACGCCAGUUCGCGUGGAGCCAUCCUUGAAAUACCACCCUGGCAUGCUUGAGGUUCUAACUCUGGUCCGU